GGGGAUGUAGCUCAGUGGUAAAGCACUUGCCUAGUGUGCAAGAAGCCCUGGGUUUAAUCCCCAGCACCACA
Molecule: transfer RNA, 71 nt
Filed under: Marmota monax (woodchuck)
Lineage: Eukaryota; Metazoa; Chordata; Mammalia; Rodentia; Sciuridae
Description: tRNA.Thr
Rfam family: tRNA
About the family: Transfer RNA (tRNA) molecules are approximately 80 nucleotides in length. Their secondary structure includes four short double-helical elements and three loops (D, anti-codon, and T loops). Further hydrogen bonds mediate the characteristic L-shaped molecular structure. tRNAs have two regions of fundamental functional importance: the anti-codon, which is responsible for specific mRNA codon recognition, and the 3' end, to which the tRNAs corresponding amino acid is attached (by aminoacyl-tRNA synthetases). tRNAs cope with the degeneracy of the genetic code in two manners: having more than one tRNA (with a specific anti-codon) for a particular amino acid; and 'wobble' base-pairing, i.e. permitting non-standard base-pairing at the 3rd anti-codon position.
Source: RNAcentral